Molecule: non-coding RNA, 2238 nt
Organism: Rattus norvegicus (Norway rat)
Lineage: Eukaryota; Metazoa; Chordata; Mammalia; Rodentia; Muridae
Source: Rfam
UGCCUGUUUGAUUCUGUCAGUAGCAUGUGUUUGUCCCAAAGAUUAAGUCAUGAAUGUCUAAGUAUGACUGGUACAGUGAAACAGUGAGUGGCUCAUUAAAUCCAUUAUGGUUCCUUUGGUCUUGGCCAAUGGCUUCUCUUCUACUUGGAUAACUGUGGUGAUUAUAGAACUAAUACAUGCCUACUGGUGCUGAUCCACCUCCUCAGGAGGAGGGGAUGCAUGCAUUUAUCAGAUUAAAACAAACCUGGUCAGCUCCUUCCCUUCCCCGUUCAGGGGGUAGGUGCCAGUAGCUUUUGUGACUCUAGAUAACCUUGGCCCUAUUUCCCUAUCAUAUGCCCUGCUCCUUUCCCGCCAGUGUCGGCAAUGACCCAUUCAAAUGUCUGCCCUAUGAACUUUCAAUGGUAGAUGCCUUGCCAUGGUGACCACAAGUGACAGGAAAUCAGGGUUAGUUUACAGACAAGGAUUCUGAGAAACUGCUACCAUAUUCAAGGAAGGCAGCAGGCACAAGAAUUGCUCACUCCUGACCCGGAGAGGUAGUGACCAAUAAUAGCAAUACAGAAUACUUUUAAGACUCUAAUUGGAAUGAAUCCACUUGAAAUCCUUUAAUGAAGAUCCACUGGAGUGCAAGUCUGAUGCCAGCAGCUGCAGUAAUUCCAGCCCCAAUACCAUAUAUUAAAGUUGCUUCAGUAGAAAAAGGUCAUAUUUUGAUAUUGGGAGUGGGCAGGCGGUCUGCCACCAGCAAGUCUCCCCACCCCCAUCCCAGCCUCUUUCCUCUCAGUGUUCCCUCAAUGCUAUUACCUGUGUCACAGGGGCCAUGAAAUGUUUACUUUAAAAAAUUAGAGUGUUCGAAGCAGGCUCCAGUUGCUAGGAUACCACAGCUAGGAAUAAUGCAAUAGGGAUGUAGCUCUAAUCUGUUGACCUUAGGAACUGAGGCCAUGAUUAAGGGGAAUAGCUGGGGCAUUUGCACUGCAUGGCUAGAGGAAAUUUUUGGACCAGCACAUGACUGAACAGACUGAAAGCAAUUUUCCAUGAAUGAUUUCAUUAAGAAUGAAAAGUUGGAGGUUCAAAGUUGAUCAGACUCCUUCACAGUUCCCACCAUAAAGGAUGCUGAGUGGCAAUGUGGCAGCAGCAUUAUCGCCAUGACCUGUCAGGCAACUUCCUGGAAAUCAAUCUUUGGAAUCCAAGGGAAGUAUAGAAGCAAGGCUGAAACUUAAGUGAAUUGAUGGAAGGGUAUCAUCUUAGUCAGGGUUUCUCUUCCUGCACAAAACAUCAUGACCAAGAAGCAAGUUGGGGGAGAAAAUGGUUUAUUCAGCUUACACUUCUACAUUGCUGUUCAUCACCAAAGGAAGCAGGACAGGGAUUCACACAGGGUAGGAACUUGGAGGCAGGAAUGGAUGCAUAAAUCAUGGGGGAAUGCUGCUUACUGGCUUACUUCCUCUGGCUUGCUCAGCUUGCUUUCUUAGAGAACCCAAGAAUACCAGCCCAGGGAUGACACCACCCACAAUGGGCCCUCCAACACUCGAUCACUAAUAGAGAAAACGCCUUACAGCUGGAUCUCACGGAGGCAUUUCCUCAAGGGAGGCUCCUUUCUCUGUAAUGCCUCCAGCUUGUGUCAAGUUGAUAUGCAACUCAGUCAGUACAGGCACCACUAGGAAUGGAUCCUGUGGUUUAAUUUGACUCAACACAUCUGGUCUGGACAUGGAUAGGAUUGACAGAUUGAUAGGUCUUUCGUGAUUCUGGUGGUCAUGUAGGGCCACUCUAAGUUGGCGGAGGGAUUUAUCUGUUUAAUUCUCAUAAUGAAGGAAAAUCUUGCAGCUAAAUAAACAUAAAAGUGGUAUGCUAUACCCAACUUCUUAGGGGAACAAGAAGUUCACCCAAGAUUGAGCAAAAACAAGCCUUUGGUGGCUUUAGAUAAUUAGGGCUACACUAAUGGCUCAGCAUGUGCCACCCAUAACCUUUGAACCCCACUUAUGACAGGCCUCAUGGACUGCAAUUAUUACCCAGGAAGGAGGAAUUCCCAAUAAGUGCAGGUCAUAUGCUUAUGUUCAUUAUGUCCCUGCCCUUUGUACACACUGCCUCUUGCUACCACUUAUUGUAAGGCUUUGUGAGGCACUUUUGAUUGCCCCUCUGUUGUUGGCUCAUAGCCCCAUUGGAGCACUGAGAAGAGGGUUUAAAGUGGGUGAUUCUGACCUGCAAAAAUGUGGCUAGUUUAACUUUCCUCAUAAAGACUGAGCAAUU